Oreochromis aureus is the source of this 2348-nucleotide long non-coding RNA. Lineage: Eukaryota; Metazoa; Chordata; Actinopteri; Cichliformes; Cichlidae. The record is from Ensembl.
CUGAAAACCAUACAUUUCACACCUGAGCCUCAACUCUCGCGGCCCGGUACCAAACGACUCACGGACCGGUACCGGUCCGAGGCCCGGGGGUUGGGGACCGCUGCUCUAAUCUGUAUCAGCAUUUAACUGAUCACAUUUUUCCAUAAAGCCGGAAUUUUAUGUAUUACUGUGCAUUGUUCUGGCUAAAACUUUAAGGCAGACAUCCAGGCCACCCUUGUCCAUAUCAGUACUGCAGAAAUUGUGUAGUGUUAUAAUGUUAUUGUGCAGGAAUCUGCAUGUAAGGGGUUAGUGUUUACAUGGUGUCAAUUUCCUGUUUCUUGCACCACUUCUCUGGAGAUUCCAAAGAACUGAAACCCUGACACACAAUCCCACACUCACAAACAAAGCCUUCCUUAAACGUUUCAUUUGAGUCAGCUUUAAAGGAAACCUGCAUAUCAGUUGAAGUGAGAAAUCUUCCUGCUGCUGUCCACUUUGGGCGAGAACUACACUGCUGUUUCAAAUUGAGUGAGGGAAUUCCAGUGAAACUUGGUUAUUUAAUUUCCACACUGCCUGCUCUCACAACAUGGAUCUUAUCUUCGUCUUCCCACUGAUACUUGCACUGAUUUCCUGUGGACAGAGUCACACUGAGGGGACUGAACAAACUAAUGGUUCAUGUUACAACUUAUGCCCAGCUGGAUAUCAUAAAGUUGGUAACUGUGAUGAUCAAGUUAAAAAGUACAAAUGCAAGAAAUGUGAGGUUGGCUUCUACACAGACAUAGAAAACUACAUAGAGAAAUGCCUUAGGUGUGACUUAUGUAAUCAUGAUGAGAUGGUACUAAGGCCCUGCUCCUUUAAUAGCAACAUAGUGUGUGCCUGUAAACAUGGAUACUACAAUUUAGGGUCUGACCAUCUGAGGGAAUGCAUGAAAUGUUCCUGUAGAACAUGUCCAAAGAACGAUGACUACAGAAGGAAGUGUCUGAAGCAGAAGAUUGGGACAGACAAAACAUAUCAACUGUGACAAGAACACAGGACAACAAAUCAAUCAGAAAUAAUAUAGAAUGCAUAUAUUUACUGCGGUGAUAGCUUACAGUGUAUAUCAGCACCAUUAUCAAAUCUAAACACAGUGUCUGGCUUAUAAAAUGUGCUCAUGUAUGUGUAAACCACAUUGUUAUUACUGAGUUUCGGUAGAAUUGCACGACUAGAUGUGUCAUAAUCGCUGUUUGGUUCCAGGGUUUUGAGUUGAAGAUUGAUUUUUUAAAUUUUUGGUAUUUUUAUUUAUAUUUUUGUUCUGUGUUUAGGGUUUGUUUUCAAUUUACUCUGUUGUGGAUUUUCAGUUAUUUUUUAGUAUUUUGAGUCUCCAGAUCUGGUUAAAUUGUCAGGAUCCCUGGGUUUUCCCUUGUCUAGUUCCCCUUUGACUCGUUAUCUUGUAAAUAUUUAUUGUCUGCGUCAUCCACUGUUCAUUAUCACACGCUCCCUCACAGACGUGUGCUCCUUGCUGGGUGUUUCCCAAAUUCCCUAAAAGUGGUUUUUCCAGUGGUUCGUUUUGAACUUGUUUUAACUGCCACCAGUAGAGAUUUUAUUUUAUUUUCCAUUUCUCUAGUCCUGCACAGCACUACAUUAUAUAACUUUCUUUCUUUUCUUUUUCUUUUUAAUGGUUUGUUUCUGCCACUGGAAAGUACCUUUUUUAUCAUAAGUCAAAAUUUUGGGUUUUUAUCUGAAAGCUCUGACUUAAAAACCUCAAAAUAUUGAGUUAUUUUCUCCAUUUUUGAGUUAUUGUCUCAGAAAUUUGAUUUAUGAAGUUUAGAUUUUGAGAUAAUCUGAAAUUCGCUGUUCCAAGGAUUUCCACACUUCAUCAGUGCCCUCGCUCAUCCACUAAUCAUUUGGUGGUAAUUUGGUACUUACUUGUGUCUGGUUUCAUUUGUUUAGUUGCAUUUCCUCCCCUAUCACAAUCUAGAUUAAGCUCACCUGCAUAAAAAUGUGUAUAAAUAUCCCUGCCUUUGUUCUUUACCAUCUUGUACUGUUUAGUCUUCUUUAUGUUGGGGCUUCUCUUCGUUCUUGUCCUUGUUUUGGAUUAACAAUUAACAAUAACCGCUUUUGGAGUUUUUCUCACUGUUUGUUUAGAUUACAGCUAGAUUACAACACUCGUUCUUUGUUUAUUGAAACUCAGUCUCUGUCUUGUGUUUUGAGUCUAUAUGGAUCAAUAAGUGUAUGUGCUCAUAUGAUCUCAUUUUGUUUCCUGUUUCUUGCAUCACUUGUCUGAAGACAAAACAGAAUUGAAAGUCCCGAGGCCGAAAACAUGCAAUAACACACUCAUACAAAUAAACCUGUCCUUAAACUACAGGUUUGAGUCAGCUUCAAAAGAAACCCAU